RNAcentral lists this long non-coding RNA (270 nucleotides) under Malus domestica (apple). RNAcentral describes it as "long non-coding RNA (MDOM_LNC002877)". The record is from RNAcentral. Lineage: Eukaryota; Viridiplantae; Streptophyta; Magnoliopsida; Rosales; Rosaceae.
AGGUAACAAUUUAAAACCUAUUUCAUCAAAUCCUUUCUAUAAGGUAAUUCCCAAAACCUAAUUUAUUCUUUAUGUUUUAUAUUCCAUUAUUUAGCUAAUCAAUUAGCUAAAUAAUAUAUUCCUUUCAUAUUUCCUAAAAAUUGACUAAUUAACAGAUUAAUUACCUAAUCAAUCCCUUAAUUAUCAAUUAAAACACCCAUUCAAACCUAAAACUACUCAAAGGCCGGCUAUCCCCAUUCAAAACCUAAUCCAUCACUUUUUUCUACUUUU